Molecule: small RNA, 455 nt
Filed under: Histoplasma capsulatum
Lineage: Eukaryota; Fungi; Ascomycota; Eurotiomycetes; Onygenales; Ajellomycetaceae
Also listed under: 1 other name
Description: hypothetical RNA
Source: RNAcentral
GAAAUUUAUAUAUUCAAUGUUUAUUAUUUUCAUUACUAUUCCGUUUAAAAUAUUAUACAAUACUUUAUCACCCAAUCCCUUCAGCACAUUCCCAUCACUAGAGUGCCACAUGACCACACCUAUUUAAGUAGUGCUGCGCCCGCUAGAUAGUUACAAUAAACCAACCUUCCACCUCCAUCAUCUGCUUUAUUUAAACCGAAAAAUAUAUUAGGAGCAAACACAUUGUUAAAUAGUCACUAGAUAUGUAUAUCGGGAUCUCCAUGAAACAUGUAGCUGAGUGCCAGACGGAGCAAUAAGCUCAGCAAAGGCCUGGUUUUAGAUAUACUAGGAAGCAAUGCACCUUGGAUUUUCUAAGUAUAUUGUAAAACAGAUUGAAUUUGCAUCUACAAUAGUUGAAUUUGAUGAUGAUAUUUAAAGAAUAUAUAUAUUCAAGGGGAAAACCCCCUGAAACCCCC